AGUAAGAAAGCCAUCACCUUCAAUAUAUCCUUGGCUAUCUGCAAAAUCUGCAGUGUCCAAGAUGUAUUUCUCAAGAUUUGCCACCUCCCUCUACCUGCUAUCCUUUGCUUUCCUUCUCCAAACCAUCGUUGGAACUGACCCUCUCUUCCAUUUCUGUUCAAGCUCUGAGAAGUUCAUAGAUAAUGGCACAUAUGAGACCAACUUGAACAAGCUCAUGGGCUAUCUCUACUUAGCAGCUCCUCCCACAGGUUUUGGGAAAGGUUCAGUUGGUGAGAAAAAUGACAAAGUGAAUGGGCUUGCUCUCUGUCGAGGUGAUGUCUCAAACACAGACUGCAAAGCCUGUAUUACCGAGUCAAGCGGUGAAAUCCGCAAACGCUGCCCAGACAACAAAGCUGCAAUCAUAUGGUAUGAUUACUGCCUUUUGAAAUACUCAAACGUGAAUUUCUUUGGUCAAGUUGCUUAUCAGAACAGGUUCUAUAUGUGGAACUUGAAUAAUGUAAGUGAUCCUGCAUCAUUUAAUCAAAAGACAAAGGAGCUGCUAAGCAACCUGGCCCAGAAAGCUUUUAUCAACUCGAAAAUGUAUGCCACUGGAGAACUAGAGCUGGAAGAAUCCGAAAAACUAUACGGAUUGACUCAAUGCACCAGGGAUCUUUCCAGCAGUGAUUGUAAGAAGUGUCUUGAUGAUGCAAUAAGUGAACUUCCAAACUGUUGUGAUGGCAAAGAAGGAGGGAGGGUUGUUGGGGGGAGUUGCAACAUAAGAUAUGAGAUUUACCCCUUUGUCAAUUCUUAGAGAACUUAUUCGGUUCUCUAGGGUUUGGGGAUCAGUAUAUUACAAUAUAUAAAUAAAGUGUUGUACACACUUCAAUUUCUCAUGUUUAGGGGAAUGGAGUAUUAUGUCACCCCAUUUUCAUCUGUUUGCUUGCAUUUUAUCUCUAAAUUAUGUUCUUGAAUAAAAUUUCCCUGUUGUUAAUCAGACUGUUUACACGUUGUAACGAGCUGCCAUGCCACCCCCUCUCCUUAGUAAUAAAGACACCCCCUCUCUUUAAUAAUAAGGGCAUUAAAUACUAAUUGCUAAUAUAUAUAUAAUGGAACCUAGAAACUUUUUUUCUUUAUCAAAUAUAGAAUCACAAUCAAAAUAUUUUUUUGUGAUCUCAUUUGAUAAGGAAAAAGGUUUCUGACAUCAUAUAUAUUAAUGAGUUUUUUUAUUUUUUGGUCCAAAACGGAUAAUAUUCACGUGAAAGGUAGUUGGUCGUUGCAAUACUUGUUGGAAUCAAAAGAACUAACUUGCCACCGAUUAUUUAUUUGUGUUGACAUGUUAAGAUUUUAUCAUUUUCGUACUAAGUACUAACCAAAGUUUAAUUUAGGCUUUACUCGUCAUUUUCAAUCUCGCAUGAAGCAUGGCUACAGCAGAGUCGCAGACAACUCUGUCUUUACAUCAUGCCUAUGUCAAGAAAAUUUUAGGUGAUAAAUGAGGGUUCGUACUAUACCAUCUAGCUCUUGUUCUCUCUCCAACUUGUUCCUGGGAGGAAUGGACUUAAUUAGAAGUUAGGUUACAAUAUUCCCUUGUGAGGGACCCGUACCUGUGGAAAACCACCUACUUUCAUGAGGGCCCAUCCUCAUAUAUACUUUGCAUAAAUGGACAAAUUAUAUGUGGAUCUGAGAUAAACAAAGGUAAUAUAUAUCCUGAAUUUGACUGGUUUCAUUAAUUGGUGUCCUGAACUUGAAGCUGCCCAUUAGUGAACGAAUGAGAAGUCAGCUUUUUCGCUCUUAAAUGGCUGGAUGGGAAGAUUUCGGCCUCCAUAUUUGACCCAGCACGGUACAUUUCCACAAGAAUUCGGUGAUGGUCCAGAAGGGAUGUUGAAGUUUGUUUACUUGUAACUGAUAAGACAUAACUGGAUGGCUCUGCCACUAGCGAAAAGUAAGCAAAUUCAACAUGAAUGCUUGGAAAAUGUUCAAGAAAAAAUCUCUAUUGAAAGGUAGAAGAGCUUCUCUUCUUGGAGAGAAGCACAAACGCAAGCUGAUCAAUUUCUAUUUUCAUCCAACAUGUACUUCUCACAAUCAAUCCCUCUCUGUUUUCUACUCCUCUCUCUUCUUCUCCAGGCUGCCAUCGGAGCUGAUCCUCUUUUCCAUUUCUGUUUUAUCCCAGAAAACUACACUGCCAAUGACCCUUUCAGUAGUAACUUGAAUGAGCUAACAACCCUCCUCUCCUCCAAAGUUCCCCCAACUGGAUUUGGACUUGCCUCAACUGGACAAGGCCAAGACAGUGUAAAUGACCUAGCUCUAUGCCGGGGCGAUGUCUCAAGCAGAGACUGUAAAACUUGUGUCACUGAGGCAACCAAAGAGUUGCACAACCGCUGUCCAUACAACAAAGGAGCGAUCAUUUGGUACGAUAAUUCUCUUUAAGUACUCAAAUGUGAAGUUCUUUGGAGAAAUCGACAACAAAAACAAGUUCUACAUGUAUAACGUACAAAGUGUUGAUGAUCCCACUUCAUUUAACGUGAAAAUAAAGGAGUUGUUGAGAAGCUUGUCCAAUAAAGCAUAUGGUAGUCCAGUGUUGUUUGCUACGGGUGAGCUUGUGCUGGAAGAGUCUAUGAAACUCUAUGGUUUGGCGCAAUGCACUAGGGAUCUUUCAAGCCUUGAUUGUAAGAAGAGCCUUGAUGAUGCAGUAAGUGAACUCCCAAGCUAUUGCGAUGGAAAACGAGGGGGAAGAGUUGUUGGUGGGAGUUGUAAUGUGAGAUAUGAGCUUUAUCCUUUUGUCAAUGCUUGGACAUGAUCAAUGAUUGUGAUCAUUCAGCAUUAUUAAUCUUUGACAAUGUUAACUUGGAAUAUUAAUUAAAAUUGUUUUCUAGAAACAUCUAGGUUAUUUUGUAUUUUGUUCGGUGGGUUUAAUUUCCAAAACAAAAAAUAUAAAAUAUCUAGAAGUGGGAGAAAAUUCAGGUAGGUGGUAUCCAGGGUACGGAUAUAUUCAUGCAUAAGCACCUAAUAUUACUGUGUCUAGUGCUAAAAUUUCAAAUUUUUUUUACUAAACAGAUUAAAAUAAUGAGAAUUAGAUAAGUUGAUUUCCUGGAUAUCAACCAUUGACCAGUCAGAGAAGCAAUGGUAUGACCAUUUCUUUGAAAAUUUUGGUCAUAAAUUCAUAUUUUAUCCUGGAUAGUAGAAUGGCACUUGUUCAUGCAUGUACUUCUGGUGAUGAACUAGUUUGAAACAUUCAUCAUAGCAUCUAUAUAUAUAUAAACUCUUGAAUCCUUCUUACAAAUUUUCCAUUUGAAUUUACCGAAUCAAUAUUCCUGAACUAAUGCCGGUUUAUGAUAGGCAUUUUAAUGGAUCAUAACGUAUGGAAGCUCCAUUUUCUAAAACUAUGAGCUAUAGAUGAAUUUGUUGAAUUGAAUAGUCUCUUCCCAGAAACUUCAUAUUAUGGGACUAAUUUCCUGAACCUAAAAGAGAUUCUUCCAAGAAUAAUACCUAAGCAUGAAAUAGUCCAACACUAACUCAUGAUAUAAUAUUCCUCCUGUGUUCCUGUACACCCAAUAUUGGGGAUGGUGUGGAAGUGCGCAACCGACUUAGCCAUUUCAAAGACUUUGACCAUUUGCAAGCCAUUUCAAAGACUUUGACCAUUUGCAAAAUUCCAAAAUGAAGGAAAAGUCAGCUUGAUAAUCUUCUUCAAAGCAAUAAUGGUGGGGUUUUUGCUAUAUAAACGAUUCAUUGUCCCAGUAAGAAAGCCAUCACCUUCAAUAUAUCCUUAGCUAUCUGCAAAAUCUGCAGUGUCCAAGAUGUAUUUCUCAAGAUUUGCCACCUCCCUCUACCUGCUAUCCUUUGCUUUCCUUCUCCAAACCAUCGCUGGAACUGACCCUCUGUACCAUUUCUGUUCAAGCUCUCAGAAGUUCAUAGAUAAUGGCACAUAUGAGACCAACUUGAACAAGCUCAUGGGCUAUCUCUACUUAGCAGCUCCUCC
Molecule: long non-coding RNA, 3952 nt
Filed under: Vitis vinifera (wine grape)
Lineage: Eukaryota; Viridiplantae; Streptophyta; Magnoliopsida; Vitales; Vitaceae
Description: long non-coding RNA (VVIN_LNC003737)
Source: RNAcentral